GCAGGGUCAAUGUCGCUAGAAGGCGUCCAGGGGCCACAAGAAAAGCUGGGAACAUCGUUGUCUCGCAGCUCAAUGAUUUUCUAAGAGGUUAGCCGCUAGCCUUUCAUUUUUAAACUUUCUUCUUUGUUUCUACUGUUUCUUUUUGUUCUUCUAUCUACAGUGGUACGUAUUGUCGCCAGGACAGCGAACGAUAGUCUGGAGGCCGGAAGCAAAUUGGUGCCUGUGAGUGGAUUUUUUUUCUGCCAUGGAUCGUUGAAGUGAUCUUAGUUAGUGGCAAGCAAAGUCUAGUUUCGAAUUGUUUGCGUGAGUUUGAAAGUUCUCUGGAGUGUUUUUUUUUUUUUGUCACUGGAGUCGUGUUGCUUGACUGUCAAAGUCUCUCGUUUUGUUCUUCUCAAGCGUUUGAUUUGGUGGCUAAGCACCUUUGUUUUUUAAUUUCCAGGAAUCUGUGCCGAGGCCUGCUGCGAAGGCAAUUGUCGCCGUUCUAGGAAUCGUGGCCACCUCCUUCCUGUUUAGCUCUCUACUUUCGCUCGCGAGCUUGGCCCUGGUAAGGCCUUUUCCUCUUUUCUACGGAACAAACUCUUGUUUUUGUUUCAGGGAAUCGCUGGAAUUGCGUAUUUUGCGUACGUCUACUUUAGCAGAGACGCAAGUGGUGGCAAAAGGAGCCAGCCCAGCAGCACGGAGUCAAGCUUAGAGGAAGCCAGGAGGAUCAUGGAAAAGUACAAGUAGGGGAGAAAAAGAAGCUCCAGGUGCGCAUACGUUUCUCUCAUCAAUCUCGAGCAUACUUUCGAGAAACUCGAAGCUUCGGGUUGCAAAGUCAAUGAUUUCUUCAUGAGGACGCAACAGGGAUUUGUAACUAAUGGUGCCUACUUCCCAGUUUCUAGAGGCGUUGAUCUCGAGUUUGAGAUUGGAGGAGAGAAGGGGAAAAAGAGGGAAGUGGCCUAUCAAGCACACACAACCUCUAUAGUGCUCGCACGGGGAUUUCGUACAAGGUUUCUAGAAGCGAAUGCUACGUUUAUUAAGAUCAACAGAGAAAUUGGAAGCUUCCUUUCGUGCAAAUUAGGUUCGCGCAUUCGCUGGUCAGUGGUGUAGCGAAUCAAAUAUCAACGUCAAUUCGAUAAAAGUUUGAUCCCGUCACUCACUCAUAUUAUUCACUCACACUGCUGUUCUGGAAGCACUGGCCUUAUACGCGAGUGUAAGUGGCCACUAAACUGAUGGCACCUCCUCCUCUCCCCAGAUUUUAGAAGCUUCGAUGGCGGCAGUUAUUGUCGUUGUCGAGGUGGCAAGCGGAUAAGACACGCAGUUUUGUCCGCCACAUGGGCGCACGGACACGCGUCGCCAGGUCAUUCGCGCUUAAGCCGCCAAAUCAGCCGCAAAGACGAGAAUAUUCUCAUUCAGAUUCUCCUCGAAUAUUCGGGUCCCGUUUGCUUAUAAGGGCCAUUCCU
This 1442-nucleotide long non-coding RNA is filed under the name Selaginella moellendorffii. Its description in RNAcentral is "long non-coding RNA (SMOE_LNC000924)". The record is from RNAcentral. Lineage: Eukaryota; Viridiplantae; Streptophyta; Lycopodiopsida; Selaginellales; Selaginellaceae.